CCAUCUCUUAAGAAGUAGCUUUGAAGUUAAUAAUGACUGAAAACAUAAAACUUCUGUACUUUUGAGAUAAGAUUUAAAAUUUGUGAAAAUGUCGGUGUCAAGGCUGAGUAUUAGAUGUUGAAGUUUCCAGAUUUGACUGAAGCCUUAAGAUUUAGGGAUGUCAUAAACCAAAGUUAAGUAGGAUUUGCAUUUUCACAACAAUUAUUUUAAACCCAGUUCCUUUUCAAUUACUCUUGAAUCCUUGCCCACUAGAUGAUAUAAAAGUGAUGAAUCAUUCAAUGUUGUGGUGGAAGGGUAUUUUCAAAGUAAAUUUCCUUGGAGAAAACUGCUAGGAAUUCACUCCUCUGUGAGCCAAAGCAAGGAGGUGGGCUGACAUCCUGUCUUCUCUGAUCAGCCUUUGCCUGAACCACUUUGGAGAUGUACUCCCUGCAGUCAGAGGAACAAUCAUUCUUGAUGCAAGCUAUUAUGUUUAGAGUGGCUAAGCAAUGAGGUCCUGCUACGCAGCACAGGGAACAGUAUCCAGUCUCUUCGGAUGGAUCAUGAUGGAGGAUAAUAUAAGGAAAAGAAUGUUUAUAUGUGUAAUAAUAUCCACAUACCCAGCAUGCGUAUGUGUUAAUACUGACCAGAUUUGGGUCAUGCAGAAGACAUGCACUGGGGAAAAGAAGGAUUGAUUUAGAUUCUAUUCAACUGAGCAAUGAAAACUCACCAGACAGAAGCUAGAAUGAGACUGUUGGAUUCUCUGAUAUUAACUGAGUGGGCACCAGAUGGAAAAUGUACUGAAACUGAGAAGAGGUCUCCAAAUAACUACAAGAGUGUGCUGUGAACAAAUGUAUUAGCUUGAAAUAUCUCCCCAGUUCCAGAAAGCACAGGACUGUCUUCAGAGACUAUCAAUCAAAUGAAAGCAUGGUUUACUUCUUAUAUCUACCCACCUAUCUCCAAACCUCAAGGUUUAAUCCAGGGACAAGAGAAGCAAUUUCCUCCCUAAACAAAUAUGAAAUGAGUCCAUGGGAGAAAAAUUAAUUUUCUCUUAUGAUAGCGCCUGAAUCCUGCUUCUUCAUUAUUCUGGUUAUUUAUAUACAAAUUUACCAUUGAUACUAACAAUACAUUUGGGAGUAGAAUUAAGUCUACAUUCUUAGUUAACUUUAUAAAGCUUCAUGACUUUCUUCUACUGCCUAACUUCGGUGUGUGUGUGUCUUGGGACAGCUUAGAGCAGGAAGUUAAGAAGCCAGACUCUAACUCGAGUCUGAUUGGGAUCGGUUGUAGCUCUACUACUUACCAAAGCUGUGACCCUCUGGUGACUUAUUUAACUUCUUGUUGAUUAGUGUAUUCAUCUGUAAAAUAUAUCUAACAGUAGUACUUACCUGAGGUGGGGGGGGGGGCAUUUAAGGAAUAAAUGAACAAUUCUCAAUACAUUUGAAUUUCCAUAAAAUUAUUUAUCAUUCCUAAUAUUGUUAUAAAUGAUAGUUCUGGUAAACUGGUUCUUAUUACUGACAAUGUUAGAUCAAAGGUCAUGCAUAUUUAUAAAUUUAUUAGAAACUAUCAAACUGUGCUCUAAAAACCCAUUUACAAACAAGUCUCUAGAUUUAAAAGAAAAAGCUACAUAUAAAUGGAAGCCAUGUGAAGGGAAAUGUCAAGAGGUCCCUUUAACAAUGAACUAUAGUUUAUAGAGAGUCAGCUGCUUUGAAAGUUAUUUAGGAGAAAUAUACAGAACAGGUGGACUGUAUGACCUGUUUGCCCUGUGAAAACUGGUAUUUGAAAUGACCCGAUUCUCAACCUGAGAAUUUUCAAAGUGACAAAUUAUGCUCAUUUGGCUUGUAAUGAUGUUCUAAUUACAGGCUAUAAGACCAAUGAUGGAUUUCCUUAACUUCUUUACUGAAAGUUCUCUAAUCCUGUUGUGACCUUUUCAUAUUCAAGCAUGUAGAAGUGUUUUCAGAAACAACUAAAAGUUUUAUAGUGAUAUAUUUAAAUAUAUAUUUCUUUUUUUAGGAUAAGCUUACAUGUUUUACUUUGAAUCAAUCCUUUUAGUAUGCUUCAGCCCUCAUAGUACGCUCUUUAUUUAUUUAAACAAAUGUACGAUGAAAGCAGUUUUAAGAAUUACCUAAUUUCUCUUGGUUUCGGUAGGAUUUAGAAGCUCUGCAUCAGGGCUUCUUUAGAUGCACCUGUGUAAAGGAUAUUGGCAUUUGUUUGUUUUCGUUAUUUUAACAUUUCUUAUCUUAAUAAGUAAUUAAGUAAUUCUCAAAAUGUGUUGUGUGCAUAAAACCAGGCACUGGAGAUGCAAAUGUAAACAAAUAGAUCAGCACAGUGUUCAUGAUGCUUACAACCUAGUUUGGGGACAGACCAUCUACAGUCUUAUACUUGAGACCUGUGGGCAUUUAGAAGACACAGAUUAGUUCACCUGGGGAAAGAUGAAUAGAUGACUGAUUGAGAAGAGAAGAAACAAUGAGACUGAGAGAGAGAGAAACAAGUGAAAUGGGAUGGAAAUCAUGAGCUUUUUCUAAGACAGUGUAGCAGAGACUGUUUCCAAAAGGAGGUAGAGCUAAUGGGUAUAGAAAGGCACUGAUAUGUCGUGUAUGAUGUAGAAACAUGAAGGUUCUUGAAAAACUUGACAGAUCCUGUUCAUUACAAUGAAGGAGGUUGAACCCAAAUUGAAUAGGAUUUAGGAUUGAAUCAAAAAAGAAAAAUGGAAACUAUGUUUGUUUUCUAUGUCUGUGAGUCUGUUUCUGUUUUGUAUCUAGAUUCAUUUGUAUUGUUUUUUAUUUGCCACAUAUAAUUGAUAUUAUAUAAUCUUUGUCUUUGACUGACUUCUCUUAGUAUGAUAAUAUCUCUAGGUUUGACUUGGCUUCAAAUGGCAAUGUUUUACUCUUUUAUUAUAAGCAAUAUCCCAUAUUUUUAAACCAUUCAUCUGUUUCUGGGCACUUGGGUUGUUCACAUGUCUUGGCUAUUGUAAAUUGAUCUGUAGUGAACAUUGGAGUGCAUGUAUCUUUUCAAAUUAUAGUUUUCUCUGAAAUGUGCCCAGAAGUGGAUUGUAGGAUCAUAUGUUAGCCCUAUUUUCAGUUUUUUAUUUUUUUAUUUUUUAUUUAUUUAUUUAUUUAUUUUUUCUUUUUUUUAUUACUCAAAUGAAUUUAUCACAUUUGUAGUUGUAUAAUGAUCAUAACAAUCUGAUUUCACAGGAUUUUCAGUUUUUUAAAGGAAACUUCAUAUUGUUCUCCACAGAAUGUGGCUAUACUGAUUUACAUUCCCACCAAAAGUAUAGGAGGGUCCCCAUUUCUCUACAUCUUCUCCAGCAUUUAUUGUUUGUAGUUUUGAUGUUGGCCAUUCUUAUCAGUGUGAGAUUCAAGUUAUGUUUCUGUAAUAGUUAGUGAUAUUUAGCAUCUUUUCAUGUGCCUGUUGGUUAUCUGUAUGUCUUCUUUGUCGAAAUGUUUAUUUAGGUCUUCUGCCCAUUUUGUGUGGGUGUGUGUGUGUGUGUGUGUGUCUUUUUAGGGCCACACCUGCAACAUAUGGAAGUUCCGAGGCUAGGAGUUGAAUUAAAGCUGUAGCUGUGGCCUACACCACAGCCACAGCAACGCAGGAUCUGAGCCACAUCUGCAACCUACACCACAGCUCAGGGUAACGCUGGAUUCCUGACCCACUGAGGGAGGCCAGGGAUUGAACCUGUGUCCUCAUGGAUACUAGUUGGGAUCAUUACUGCUGAGUCACAAUGGGAACUCCCUUUGCCCAUUUUUUGAUCAAGUUUUUUAUUUUCAUUAUUUUGCUAUUGAGUUGUAGGAUCUGUAAAUUCUGGAUUGUAACCCCUUGUUGGUUGAAUCAUAUUUUUUCCCAUUCUGUAGGUUUUCUUUUUUAGGAAGAGCAGAAGAGAGGGAUAAAUUAGUAUAUAAUAUUAGCAGAUAUAAACUACUAUACAUAAAAUAGGUAAUUAGCAAGGAUUUGCUGUAUAGCACAGGGAACUAUAAUAAAUAACUUGUAAUGACCUAUAAUGGAAAGUAAUCUGAAAUAUGUAUAACUGAAUCAUGUUUCUGUACACCUGAAACUAACACAAUAUUGUCAAAAGAUUGUAAUUCAGUCAAUUGAGAGAGAGACAUGGAGACAGUACAUAAACCUACAAAACUUUCAAAGACAGACGAUAUUAGAGCAUGACAGAAUGACACACAGAGGGCUGAAAUUACAGUUCAGGUGAGAAACCCCCAUCAUAAACAAGAUACAGUUCUAGAAUGGGAGGCGUACAUAAUGAAAUUGCAGGUUUAUAUUAACAAUAAAAAUCUAAUGAGAAGACUUGAAUUGGAAGAGUUCUCAAGAGCCAGAGCAUCAUCCUCAAGACUUUACGGGACAUUUGGUUCUGUCCAGAAUGUCCAUGAGACUUUUUGUCUAUAAGACAUUUGAUCCAUGCCAAACAUGUCUGUAAGCAUAUUUUGGCCAUUCCACAUGGUUUUGGAAAGGAAUGAAAAUCUAGGGCCUUUUGACAUGGACAAAAUAUCUUCAUGGACAUUUCAGACAGGACCAAAUGGUCCUGCAAAUAUCAAGGAUGUUUUUGCAUGGACCAGAUAUCUUAUAGGGAUUUUAGAUAGACCAACUGUUUGCUAACUGCCUUAAAAUUGUAUCUGUACAUCUUUUUUUUUUUUCUUUUUAUUGCCAUGCCCAUGGCAUAUGGAAAUUCCCAGACCAGAGGUCAAAUCAGAACUGCUGCUGUGGCCUGCACCACAGCUCAUGGAAACUUGGGUCCCAAGCCCACUGAGCAAAGGCAGGGAUCAAACCCACAUCCUCACAAAGACAAUGUUAGUGCCUAACUCACUGAGCCAAAGUAGAAACUCAGUGUGUAUAUAUGUAUAUCGUAAUGUUAUGGGGCUAGUGGAUUAAUGGACUAGACCAAGGUCACAGCUUUAAGGAAUAUACAAUAAAUGUUUUACAUACUUAUAAAUAGGGAUUAUUUCUGUUUCUACCUCAGAAGAGUUUGUCUAUUUAAAAUAUAUAGUUUUGUAUUAAAUAGAUAUUGCCUUAAACUUAACUUCCUUUUCUUGAUUACAAAAGGUAACUAAAAUAUUAAUGCUAUCCCCAUCUCUCUCUUUCAUUCUAGUCCAUCCUAA
Molecule: long non-coding RNA, 5078 nt
Filed under: Sus scrofa (pig)
Lineage: Eukaryota; Metazoa; Chordata; Mammalia; Artiodactyla; Suidae
Description: lncRNA (ENSSSCG00040042343.1)
Source: RNAcentral